UUAACUCCACCUGCAAAGGUUUCACAACCACUCAAACACAUGUUGCCUGGUAGCUCACCCAGCGGGUCUGAGGAUGUUGACCUAUGUUUGCUGGUCCCUGACACCUCUUUGCUGCCUUCAGAAGUGGUUUUUAACUCUUCAGAGGCCAGAGGGUCUUCUGUUGUCAUCCCUGUGGAAGCUCAGCCAAUUCCAGAUACACCUUUGGUACCAGAAAGUUCUGGUCCACCAACCCACUCCUCUUUUUCAGCAGGCCAACCCAGUUCCAGUCAGAUGGUCUUGCGACGAACUGAACGCUCUACAGCUGGUCAACAUUCAAAUGUCCACCGCCUUCCUCGGGCAGCCGGUGUGGCGGACAAUGGAGCAGUUGAAACUCCAGCGCCGGCCUCUAAUGCUCAAUUUGCCAUUUUUAGACCUUGGUACUAACCCUCCAGGUCUCUUGUGUCAUCGUCGGGGCGACGACGCAAAAAGGGGGGGUAGAAUGUGGCAAGUUGAAGUGACCCGCAUUCUUCACGGGUGCACUCAAUUACCUGACAGAAUCAGUUGUCACGUCAUUGCGUAAUUGUGGGGCAGUGCCGCCCACUGUUAUAUAUAUGGGCAGGUGACUGCGCCUCUGACGUGCGUCAUACCUUUCUCCCGGAUGCUGUGAUCAGUCAGAUCGUGGUUUGGCGUGGCUGUGACAGAUCGGUGAUCCAUACUCCCUAAUUGUGCGAGUCUGCUGCAUUGUCUGUGCGGAGCUGACGUGUGCUCCCUCCACUGUGGGUGAACACAUCAGUGUCGGAAGUUGCUGUGGACGGCAAGUGAGCCGUGCGCUCCCUCUCUCUCUCGCUCUCCCUCUCCUCACGAGUUGGAAGCGCUGCGCUGCUAUCCUCUGGUAAUUGGGCCAGCGUGUGAAUCGCGGUGCCGCGGCCCUCUAGAAACCUCAGCCUCCAAGCCGUGGCCGACUGCUGUUUUGUCCCCCGCUCUUCUUUUAUUGUUUUAGUUCAUGUUGCCGCUACUACUACUACUACUACUACUACAACUAUCACCACUACUUCGUGACGAGUACAAUUUUGUGAUGGUUUAAAUUAUAGUUAUGAAUAUUGUUUCAGUUUGUUAGUUGCUUUAUUUUUGUUUGGUUGUUUGUGUGUUUG
Molecule: long non-coding RNA, 1130 nt
Organism: Solea senegalensis (Senegalese sole)
Lineage: Eukaryota; Metazoa; Chordata; Actinopteri; Pleuronectiformes; Soleidae
Exons: 4
Source: RefSeq, a predicted model, not a curated record